This is a long non-coding RNA of Rhipicephalus sanguineus (brown dog tick), 703 nucleotides long. RefSeq lists it as uncharacterized. The record is from RefSeq and is a predicted model, not a curated record. The transcript is spliced from 3 exons. Lineage: Eukaryota; Metazoa; Arthropoda; Arachnida; Ixodida; Ixodidae.
GAUGGGCAAGCUUACCCUGAGUUCGACAGACUGCUACGUCGGCAAAAACGUAAAGACGUUUGUUCCGGACAACAACAAUUAUUCGGAAGAGUGGUUUCAGAUCAUAUACAUCAACUGUGAGACUUGUGUCAUUACUCGACAUCCUUACGCUAAAAAUGGCAUGGGCUGUUCGCUUUGGCGUCGCUCGAACAACCUCCACGAGUCGUCGUAUUGCUGCGAGUUCAUAUUCGACCAGAACUGCGGUGCCUCAAGAAAAUACUACAUAUACAAUCCCGCAUGCACGUGGAUGACACCCACAGGAACACCGUGACAGUGGAGGGAUUUCUACCUGGACCUGGGAUACUUAUAGAUGGGCUGGGUUACUGCAUUACGUGCAGUCGGCGUCAGAAGUUUAGAUACCACCAGUUCGAAGACAGCUUUGAAUUCCUAAGCUAUUAAUGACUUUUCGAUCGAACUGCACAGUACAGCCUCGAAUCUGAAUUCAAGGCUCUCUGCCGAAGUAGCGGGAAUAUUCAGCUUUUUUCUUGUGUCUCGUGGUCUCUAAAGUUGUGACUUUACAUGUGUCAGAAUUUCUGCCGUGUAAAUUAGAAAUGAAUUGGCAGUUCGAAGUUGUAAUAAAAUGCCUUGAUCAUGUCGGGAUUAAUAAACUAAUAUUAAAUAAUUUCAUUACGAUUAUUAACAAGUACAAAAAUAAACUAAUUGA